UCAAACUUGGUCAUUUAGAGGAAGUAAAAGUCGUAACAAGGUUUCCGUAGGUGAACCUGCGGAAGGAUCAUUACUGAAACAAAUUUGGAUUGGGUUUUUUCGCUAGCGCACUUUCGGAGACUGUGCGCCGUCGAACACAACCUGUCCAUUUUAUUUUUCCUUUGUCACCUGUGCAACUCGUGUAGAUCUUCGAAACACACUGUCAGUCUCAAUUUGAAAAAUGAGAGAUUGGUUUGAGGGAACUUGCUUCGUGGCUUUUCUCAGGCGUUUCUGAUUUACGUUUUCCUUGUAUUUCACACACGUCUCUGUAAUAAAGAAUGUCAUCGUUUGGAUUUGUACGAGCGUGCAAUCCUAUGAAAAAGCUUCGUAAAACAACUUUCAACAACGGAUCUCUUGGCUCUCGCAUCGAUGAAGAACGCAGC
RNAcentral lists this unclassified non-coding RNA (422 nucleotides) under uncultured fungus. RNAcentral describes it as "partial contains small subunit ribosomal RNA, internal transcribed spacer 1, and 5.8S ribosomal RNA". The stretch from base 1 to 73 matches the Rfam family "Eukaryotic small subunit ribosomal RNA", at positions 1759 to 1831 of the family's 1831-position model. Lineage: Eukaryota; Fungi. The record is from RNAcentral.